AUGGGUACUCCAUUUUAGAUAGAGUACCGGUACCGGGUACGUACCGGGUACCGGUACGCGUAUGGUACUCCCUUGGUACGCACCGACGCCGUACCUAGAUUUUUUUUUUGUUUUGUGCAAUGGGUACGCGCGUGGUACACCUGUGGUACACGCAUGGUACACCAAUUCAAAAAAACACAAUUUUUUUCUCCUUUUUCUUUUAUUAUUAGUUUUUUUUAUAGAAAGAUUUAUGUUUUUUAUUUGUUUAUAAUAUAAAAGUAGCAACUAUUGCUAAAAACAAUAACAAAGUAGCCGCCGAAAUUAUUCAUUCAUUCAUUGAAAAGGAAUAAGCUCAAUUCAAAGACUAACACUAACUAGAGGUCGCUCUUUUUAGUAAUGAUGAAGAGAGAAAUAAUUGACUCUUCUUGAGCUAGUUGCUUUUUAAUUUCAUAUUUUGAUGUUUCGAACAAUUUAAAUUACUUUUAAAGUGUGGUGUGAUAUUUUUUAUGUUUAAUUAUUUGUUUUAACAAUAUAAUUCUAUUAUUUGAUAUAUAUAAUUAUAUUUAAAAAAAAUUUAUAGGGACGUACCCGUACCUUAAUUUUUCUAAAAAUGACGUACCCCGUACCAGUACCCGUACCGGAUACCGGUACCGUACCCGCACCCGGGCAACAUAG
This 654-nucleotide long non-coding RNA is filed under the name Trifolium pratense (red clover). Its description in RNAcentral is "long non-coding RNA (TPRA_LNC001224)". The record is from RNAcentral. Lineage: Eukaryota; Viridiplantae; Streptophyta; Magnoliopsida; Fabales; Fabaceae.